GAGGUCGAGGACGUACGCUACUUAAAGAUUUAUAUGACUUAAAUCCUGUCAAGCAUGUCAAAGCAAGUAGAAACAGUCAUGGUCAGCCUGUUGGAUCUGAAGCUCGACUUUUAACAGGCUAUUUGGGCAUUAUAGCACGAAAUGCCAAUAUGUUGCCCAUCAACUACGAAUCAUGGCAUCACAUGCCUGAUAGCAACAAAAAUCAAGCUCUCGAUAAUAUUAAGGAGAGAUUUGCUUUAGAGGUCUCGGAUGACUAUAUCAAGAAGGCAUUGGGUAAAAAGUGGAGAGACCAUAAAAGCACUUUGAAAAAACAAUAUUUUAAGAAAGACAUAAGCCUCGAAGAAAAAUUGCGAAAUGUCCCGCCAGGAAUGCUGAGGUACCAAUAGGAAGAUGCGGUUAGAUUCUAAAAUUCAAAGAAAGGAGAGGACCGUGAACGAGUUGGAACAAACAGCAGGCAAAAACAAAAUUCACGCA
This is a long non-coding RNA of Gossypium arboreum, 474 nucleotides long. RefSeq lists it as uncharacterized. The transcript has 3 exons. Lineage: Eukaryota; Viridiplantae; Streptophyta; Magnoliopsida; Malvales; Malvaceae. The record is from RefSeq and is a predicted model, not a curated record.